This 468-nucleotide ribosomal RNA is filed under the name uncultured bacterium. Its description in RNAcentral is "partial 16S ribosomal RNA". It matches the Rfam family "Bacterial small subunit ribosomal RNA", at positions 28 to 507 of the family's 1533-position model. The record is from RNAcentral.
GACGAACGCUGGCGGCGUGCUUAACACAUGCAAGUCGAACGGAAAGGCCCUGCUUUUGUGGGGUGCUCGAGUGGCGAACGGGUGAGUAACACGUGAGUAACCUGCCCUUGACUUUGGGAUAACUUCAGGAAACUGGGGCUAAUACCGGAUAGGAGCUCCUGCUGCAUGGUGGGGGUUGGAAAGUUUCGGCGGUUGGGGAUGGACUCGCGGCUUAUCAGCUUGAUGGUGGGGUAGUGGCUUACCAAGGCUUUGACGGGUAGCCGGCCUGAGAGGGUGACCGGCCACAUUGGGACUGAGAUACGGCCCAGACGCCUACGGGAGGCAGCAGUGGGGAAUAUUGCACAAUGGGCGGAAGCCUGAUGCAGCAACGCCGCGUGCGGGAUGACGGCCUUCGGGUUGUAAACCGCUUUCGCCUGUGACGAAGCGUGAGUGACGGUAAUGGGUAAAGAAGCACCGGCUAACUACGUG